This 346-nucleotide long non-coding RNA is filed under the name Neogobius melanostomus (round goby). Its description in RNAcentral is "lncRNA (ENSNMLG00000001033.1)". The record is from RNAcentral. Lineage: Eukaryota; Metazoa; Chordata; Actinopteri; Gobiiformes; Gobiidae.
CUCUCUGACUCUGCCCGGCCCAAACACGAAGGUCGUAUGCCUGACUGAGAUGUUCACAGCUUCGCCAGCAAGUGCUCCCACGAAACAGAGUCACAGCACUACCCUACGCAGUCAGCCCGAGUCUGUCUCUCCUGGAGGUGAGAUGAGUUGCUGCCCUGUUGGCUGUGUGUGACCGAGGUGAGACACGUCUCCAGCGGCUGCAGCUCUGCUCUGCACAAUGUGGGUUAAACCACGAGCCCAUGCGCUGCACAAAACAAAAGGAAUUGCCAUAGUUGUUGAAUAAUGUACUCAAAUAAUCUGAAAAACCAAGAAACUAUAGCGUAAUAAUACAUAAAAAAUAAAGCAG